AUUAAAAAAAAAAAGAAAAAACAACCCCAAACCCCCAAAACUUCCAUUUUGUAACAUCACAAAUGUCUUCUAGGUUUUACCAAAGACCAAAAAGCUAAAAUUCUCUAUAUGAUUUCCAGUGAUGGAAACGAGGCAGAGACAGUAAGCACCCAAAGUGGCGAGUUAGCACUUUCCGGAUGCCUGUCGUCCUCACGGAAGAGCCCCUGGAACUAGAAUGACAGAAAAGACACUGUGACUUUGACAAGGCUACGCAGCUGCACGUCACGCUUGCUUGCAUGCAUGCUCCCUGCAGAGUGGCCUCUGCCAGAGAGAGCAAGGGCAGGCGUGGAGGGCCAGCAUGCUGGUCCUCGGCUGACAGAUGGCACAGGACGCGCCGCCAUGCCCCUCCCUAGCCCCCACAAUGCCUUGACUGCCUCAAUGCCAGCUCCACAGAAAUGUCACCUGAGUGUUUACGGGACUUUCCAGGCUCAAGAAGUAGGUGUUCCCUUUGACGUUUGCCAAAGGCUCAUUGUCAGCCAAAGCAGGACACCCCCAGGAGGAGUGGCAGGAGGCUGUGGAUUGAAUAGGGCUCGAAUCCUGGGAAUUCCUAAAGUAUUUUAUUUAUAAAUAAAAGCAGAAAGCUAAGAAAGAGCAUACUAGGACAAAGUGAAUAUGAUGGUCAAAGCUAUGCUUGAGGAGCGAGAACUCUGGGCGUGUGCUGGCCGUGCAUGCUCUGUGACAGGCCACGGGGAGCCAGGCCCACGUCUCAGAGUUCGAUCACUCUGCCUGACUCACAGCCAACAUGGAAGGUUGCUGGAAGGAUUAAAAAAGAAAGAAGGUGAUUCCCCCAGGUGGUUCCCCCAAACCAGACCACCAGGCUAUUCCAACUCUGCUGAAGAACCUCCAACAUGUCCACCCAUAAAGGUCUGCCAAAACAGAAGUGACCAGAAGCAAGCAGCGCUCAGGGGACUACCCAUGACAUGAAGAGAGGCAGCACCAGGUGGGAACGCGACGCUGUGCCACUGAGUGCGGGCCAGACAGAGAGAGACCCAGAGGCGGCUGGGACUACAGCCCAGGAGAGCUGAGGAUCUGAGAAAAUGAGGAUUUCGUAACUGCCGAUAAAAGUGGCUGAUAGGGUAAUUCACUGCUCUGUCCCUCAAGUUCACAGUAUCAGCAGGAUUUUUCAGAUUUUGACAGAUUUAAAACUUCAACACUGCUGCUUUCUGAUGAAGGGUUGAGAGAUCCCCACAGCCUGAGAAUUCCACAUGUAGCUGCAAGAGGCAGAGUGUGAGAAGCUGGAAGGGGCGGCAAUCAUACGUCUUGAAAUAGCAAACAGCUGCAGAUCCCACCCCAAGAGGAUCCUUUCUGUUCUGCACAAAGGCCCUAAUAAAACAAUUCUUUACAGUGCCACACACGCAAAAAACGAAAUCUUGAAGAGUUUACACCUCCUACCCCUUUGCAGGAAAUACUCCAUAUGUGGUUUUUUAAAAAAACUAGUUUGCUUUGUGGGUUUUAAAGAGAAUGUAAAUUUGGGGAAAGUUUCAUUAGUGUAAUGACUACUCCCCAUGACUUUAGCUGCUGAAUACACUGGUGAAAUUUCAUUGAGNNNNNNNNNNNNNNNNNNNNNNNNNNNNNNNNNNNNNNNNCAUGUUCACUGAACCCACGUGUGUGAAGAGCUUCAGCACCCAGACCGGCAGGCUGUGGGACUAGGGCGCAGGCUUCACUGCUCCUGAUCCAUACUCCCUAUUUGAAUUAGAGAAGACACAAUCCAUGACUGUCUCGGGAUCAAGUCUGCUCUUAGAGCGCAGCGUGUCCUGGGACAGGAAACCUGACAGUGGCCGGCUCCCGAACGCUCGCAGGGCGCUGGUGCCUGCAAGGACAACCCCACCUUCUGAGUGGGGCCAGCAGAGACCUGCGGAAAACCUGCUGCCAGAAGCAUUUGGAAGAAGGGGAAAGGCAAAAGCAGGCUGGAAACGAGGCCUUUUUUUGUGUGUUUUAAGAAAAAGAAAAGCCAGGGGGUGGAACCUCCACACCAGAAACUGCAGAGAUG
RNAcentral lists this long non-coding RNA (2029 nucleotides) under Capra hircus (goat). RNAcentral's name for it is "lncRNA (ENSCHIG00010007424.1)". The record is from RNAcentral. Lineage: Eukaryota; Metazoa; Chordata; Mammalia; Artiodactyla; Bovidae.